This 440-nucleotide ribosomal RNA is filed under the name uncultured bacterium. Its description in RNAcentral is "bacterial SSU rRNA". It matches the Rfam family "Bacterial small subunit ribosomal RNA", at positions 338 to 771 of the family's 1533-position model. The record is from RNAcentral.
CCUACGGGUGGCAGCAGUGGGGAAUUUUGCACAAUGGGCGAAAGCCUGAUGCAGCAACGCCGCGUGUGUGAUGAAGGUUUUCGGAUCGUAAAGCACUUUCGACCGGGACGAACAACCUCUGGCUAAUACCCAGGGGCCUGACGGUACCGGGAGAAGAAGCACCGGCUAACUCUGUGCCAGCAGCCGCGGUAAUACAGAGGGUGCAAGCGUUGUUCGGAAUUAUUGGGCGUAAAGCGCGUGUAGGCGGCUUUGCAAGUCGGGUGUGAAAGCCCUCAGCUCAACUGAGGAAGUGCGCCCGAAACUGCGAGGCUUGAGUACCGGAGAGGAUGGCGGAAUUCCCCAAGUAGAGGUGAAAUUCGUAGAUAUGGGGAGGAACACCGGUGGCGAAGGCGGCCAUCUGGACGGAUACUGACGCUGAGACGCGAAAGCGUGGGUAGCAA